Molecule: transfer RNA, 64 nt
Filed under: Gyrohypnus fracticornis
Lineage: Eukaryota; Metazoa; Arthropoda; Insecta; Coleoptera; Staphylinidae
Description: tRNA-Ser
Source: RNAcentral
AGUUAAUGAACUUGUAAAAGUAUAUAUUUUGAAAAUAUAAUAAAGGGUAAAACCCUAUUAACUU